UACAAGUGUGUCUAAAUGUUUGUGCUUGU
RNAcentral lists this non-coding RNA (29 nucleotides) under Mus musculus (house mouse). The record is from RNAcentral. Lineage: Eukaryota; Metazoa; Chordata; Mammalia; Rodentia; Muridae.